Molecule: transfer RNA, 73 nt
Filed under: Fasciola gigantica
Lineage: Eukaryota; Metazoa; Platyhelminthes; Trematoda; Plagiorchiida; Fasciolidae
Rfam family: tRNA
About the family: Transfer RNA (tRNA) molecules are approximately 80 nucleotides in length. Their secondary structure includes four short double-helical elements and three loops (D, anti-codon, and T loops).
Source: Rfam by way of RNAcentral
ACCGCGAUAACUCAGUUGGUAGAGCAUCCGCCCGGUAAGCAGAGUAUCGUCGGUUCGAUUCCGGCUCGCGGCG